Molecule: ribosomal RNA, 301 nt
Filed under: uncultured bacterium
Lineage: Bacteria
Description: partial 16S ribosomal RNA
Rfam family: Bacterial small subunit ribosomal RNA
Source: RNAcentral
CAGCCGCCACGGGAAUACGGAGGGGGCUAGCGUUGUUCGGAAUUACUGGGCGUAAAGGGCGCGUAGGCGGCCAUUCAAGUUAGAUGUGAAAGCCCUGGGCUCAACCUAGGAAUUGCAUUUGGUACUGUUUGGCUUGAGUUCGGGAGAGGUGAGUGGAAUUCCCAGUGUAGAGGUGAAAUUCGUAGAUAUUGGGAAGAACACCGGUGGCGAAGGCGGCGACCUGGUCCUUGACUGACGCUGAGGCGCGAAAGCGUGUGGAGCAAACAGGAUUAGAUACCCCUGUAGUCCCUGUCUCUUAUAC